This 253-nucleotide ribosomal RNA is filed under the name uncultured bacterium. RNAcentral's name for it is "partial 16S ribosomal RNA". It matches the Rfam family "Bacterial small subunit ribosomal RNA", at positions 524 to 776 of the family's 1533-position model. The record is from RNAcentral.
UACGGGGGGGGCAAGCGUUGUUCGGAAUUACUGGGCGUAAAGGGCUCGUAGGUGGCCAACUAAGUCAGACGUGAAAUCCCUCGGCUUAACCGGGGAACUGCGUCUGAUACUGGUUGGCUUGAGUUUGGGAGAGGGAUGCGGAAUUCCAGGUGUAGCGGUGAAAUGCGUAGAUAUCUGGAGGAACACCGGUGGCGAAGGCGGCAUCCUGGACCAAUACUGACACUGAGGAGCGAAAGCCAGGGGAGCAAACGGG